GGAGAGAUGCCGGAGCGGUUGAACGGGCCGCACUCGAAAUGCGGUAGACUCGCAAGGGUCUCGGGGGUUCGACUCCCUCUCUCUCCG
RNAcentral lists this transfer RNA (87 nucleotides) under Candidatus Moranbacteria bacterium CG_4_10_14_3_um_filter_44_15. RNAcentral's name for it is "tRNA-Ser". It matches the Rfam family "tRNA". From Rfam's summary of the family: Transfer RNA (tRNA) molecules are approximately 80 nucleotides in length. RNAcentral also lists the same sequence under 3 other names. Lineage: Bacteria; Candidatus Moraniibacteriota. The record is from RNAcentral.